UUAAUGCUCCCUUAGAUCCUAAUUUGUGUUUGUAAUCUUGAACUAAAUUCUACUCAUAAAUUUUAAUUUCUUGCAGUUCUAGUAAAAGAAACAUCCAGCACCUCUCUUGUUUGUACCGUCAAAGGUUCUUGAGUCAUGGGCAUGUGAGAUCAACAUACACGCAUGUUCGAUCUAUGUCCUAACUGAGAUGACAUAAAAUCAUGUGUUCAUUCCUGAUGAACCGGACUGUCCAGGGUGCAGACUUU
Molecule: small nucleolar RNA, 245 nt
Organism: Sorex araneus (European shrew)
Lineage: Eukaryota; Metazoa; Chordata; Mammalia; Eulipotyphla; Soricidae
Source: Ensembl